Molecule: ribosomal RNA, 504 nt
Filed under: uncultured bacterium
Lineage: Bacteria
Description: bacterial SSU rRNA
Rfam family: Bacterial small subunit ribosomal RNA
Source: RNAcentral
UGAACGCUGGCGGCGUGCUUAACACAUGCAAGUCGCACGAGAACUCCCGAAGCUUGCUUUGGGAUAGUAAAGUGGCGCACGGGUGAGUAACGCGUGGGUAAUUUACCUUCGAAUCGGGGAUAACACUUCGAAAGGGGUGCUAAUACCGGAUAAUAUCGUUAAAGUUUCGGCUUUUACGAUCAAAGAUGGCCUCUACAUGUAAGCUAUUGUUUGGAGAUGAGCCCGCGUACCAUUAGCUAGUUGGUAGGGUAAAGGCCUACCAAGGCGACGAUGGUUAGCUGGUCUGAGAGGAUGAUCAGCCACACUGGAACUGACACACGGUCCAGACUCCUACGGGAGGCAGCAGUGAGGAAUUUUGCGCAAUGGGCGAAAGCCUGACGCAGCAACGCCGCGUGAGUGAUGAAGGCCUUCGGGUCGUAAAGCUCUGUCAAGUGGGAAGAACCGGUAUUGUGAUAAUACCACAAUGCUCUGACGGUACCACUGAAGGAAGCACCGGCUAACUCC